AUGACGUCCGUAUAAUAUGCAGCACUCUUGUGUCAGCAACAGCAGCGACUGAUCAAUUAGCAAAACAGAGAGCUGGAAAAGAGCGAAAAGGAUAUUUAUCAAAUCAUACUGCUUAAAUACUGUGCGCGUUUUCAUUUUAUUAUACAGUGGAUUCUCUUGGCAAUUUUGAAAUAUAGUUGGGGUGUGUGUUUUGCAUUGUUUUAAAAACAUUGAAAUUAUUGCUGCUCAAAUAUGGUUGACAAAUUAGUUAACAGCGAAGCCAAUGCUCGCCGAAUACAGAUGGUGGAAAACUGUUUCGGAACAUCUGGCCAACCAUUGUUUCUUCCCGGGCGGGUCCUCGUAGGUGAAGGUGUUCUUACAAAGAUGUGUCGUAAACGACCGAAAGCUCGUCAAUUUUUCCUAUUUAAUGAUAUUUUGGUGUAUGGCAAUAUUGUUAUUGGCAAGAAGAAGUACAACAAACAACACUUAAUACCGCUCGAAGAAGUCCAACUGCAAGCACUGGAAGAUAAUGGUCAGUACCGGAAUGGAUGGUUGAUACGUACAGCCACUAAGUCGUUUGCUGUGUAUGCUGCGACACAAACAGAGAAGCAGGAAUGGAUGGCACACAUCAACAAGUGUAUAGAAGAUUUAUUGCGCAAGAGCGGCAAGAAACCAGUUGAAACACAUGCUGCUGUAUGGGUUCCGGAUAGUGAAGCUAACAUCUGCAUGCAUUGUAAAAAAACUCAUUUUACCAUGAUUAACAGACGGCAUCAUUGUCGAAAUUGUGGAGCAGUAGUAUGUGGUCCUUGUUCGUCGAAAAAAUUUAUUCUACCAGGUCAGAGCAAUAAACCUCUGCGAGUAUGUCUGGAUUGCUAUGACAAUCUGACAUCAAUGAAGCGUGACGGAAACAAAGCACUUGCCGGUAACAACAACAAACCAGCUAACUCUACUGAGAGCUCCGGUGAAGAUGAUUCAGGAGAUGAUGACGAAACUCUUAAGGAUAACGUGACCCACGACGAGCCCAAAUUUUACGCUGAUGGUAAACUUGAAAAAUAGAACUGUGAAUGCUUUAAUGUACCGUUCAUAUAUAAUACCAGCAGUUGUUAUAAUAAACUACAUAAGAAUCUCACUCCGUUUGCAUCGAAUCGCAGCUCCAUUGGAUUGGAUUCAAUACCAUUAGAUUUUUGACAGCAAUAUUCUGUUUACAGUGCAAAUCAAGGCUAGUUUUUACUAAUUCAAAACGUUUUUUAAACUUUAUUUUAUUACGUAUACUCCUUUAAUUAAUUAAACAAAACCUAGCUCAAAGACACCUCGGAAUAUCCCAUAAAUUUUAAAUUUGUUAGUUAUCUCAAAAGCGUCUAACUGUCAACAAUUCGAUGGUAGCGGCGCGCGUAAACGGCAAAAGAUUUGAACGUAGCUGGAAACGUGUAUCUUCAUUUGAAUGAUGGAUAAAUUGAUUAGGGACCUAUAAUGCUUACGGCUUCACUUAAAUGUAGUGAAUAUUCAUUUACGAUCAACUCUUAGCAAUAAUUGAACAUAAGAAUCAUUAGACUUUUUUUUUUCAGUGAUGAGUA
Molecule: RNA transcript, 1553 nt
Organism: Anopheles merus
Lineage: Eukaryota; Metazoa; Arthropoda; Insecta; Diptera; Culicidae
Gene name: pleckstrin homology domain-containing family F member 2-like
Exons: 8
Source: RefSeq, a predicted model, not a curated record